RNAcentral lists this ribosomal RNA (245 nucleotides) under uncultured bacterium. RNAcentral's name for it is "partial 16S ribosomal RNA". It matches the Rfam family "Bacterial small subunit ribosomal RNA", at positions 524 to 768 of the family's 1533-position model. The record is from RNAcentral. RNAcentral also lists the same sequence under 1 other name.
GACAGAGGUGGCAAGCGUUGUUCGGAUUUACUGGGCGUAAAGGGUGCGUAGGUGGUUAGGUAAGACCUGUGGGAAAGACCUGGGCUUAACCCAGGAAGGUCGCAGGUGACUGCCUAGCUAGAGGGCGGGAGAGGAGCGCGGAAUUCCCGGUGUAGCGGUGAAAUGCGUAGAGAUCGGGAGGAAGGCCGGUGGCGAAGGCGGCGCUCUGGAACGUUCCUGACACUGAGGCACGAAAGCGUGGGGAG